RNAcentral lists this transfer RNA (76 nucleotides) under Deltaproteobacteria bacterium. Its description in RNAcentral is "tRNA-Glu". It matches the Rfam family "tRNA". From Rfam's summary of the family: Transfer RNA (tRNA) molecules are approximately 80 nucleotides in length. Their secondary structure includes four short double-helical elements and three loops (D, anti-codon, and T loops). RNAcentral also lists the same sequence under 3 other names. Lineage: Bacteria; Pseudomonadati; Myxococcota; Myxococcia. The record is from RNAcentral.
GGUCCCAUCGUCUAGAGGCCUAGGACGCCGCCCUCUCACGGCGGCAACACGGGUUCGAAUCCCGUUGGGACUACCA